GUUGAAGUUUUUUAGGGCACAGGGUGGAUGCCUUGGCAUCAGGAGCCGACGAAGGACGUUGUAGCCUGCGAUAAGCCUCGGGGAGCUGGCAGACGAGCUGUGAUCCGAGGGUUUCCGAAUGGGGGAACCUAGCCGAAGUCAUGUUCGGUUACCUGCAUCUGAAUUCAUAGGGUGUAGGGGGGAACGCCGGGAAGUGAAACAUCUCAGUACCGGCAGGAAGAGAUAUUCGGUGAGUAGUGGUGAGCGAAAGCCGAUGAGGUUAAACCGUGCGCGUGUCAAGUUGUCAGGCGUUGCGUGUGCGGGGUAGUGGGAUCCUCUGGGAGCCUCUGACAGGGUUCCGGCCAGUGAGAAAGUCGCGUUGUAGCCGAACCGGGUUGAAUACCGGACCGUAGAGGGUGGUAGUCCUGUAGGCGAAAUGACGUGGCCUGGUGGAGGGUGUCCCGAGUAGCACGGGGCCCGUGAAAUCUCGUGUGAAUCCGCCAAGACCACUUGGUAAGCCUAAAUACUCCCUGAUGACCGAUAGCGGACCAGUACCGUGAGGGAAAGGUGAAAAGUACCCCGGGAGGGGAGUGAAAUAGUACCUGAAACCGUGUGCCUACAAUCCGUCAGAGCCUCCGCCUCCUUGUGGGGCAUGUAGGGGUGAUGGCGUGCCUUUUGAAGAAUGAGCCUGCGAGUUAGUGCUCGGUGGCGAGGUUAACCCGUGUGGGGUAGCCGUAGCGAAAGCGAGUCCGAAUAGGGCGGUCCAGUCGCCGGGUCUAGACCCGAAGCGGGGUGAUCUAGCCAUGGGCAGGGUGAAGCGCCGGUAAGACGGUGUGGAGGCCCGAACCCACCAGGGUUGAAAACCUGGGGGAUGACCUGUGGUUAGGGGUGAAAGGCCAAUCAAACUCCGUGAUAGCUGGUUCUCCCCGAAAUGCAUUUAGGUGCAGCGUCACGUGUUGCUUGCUGGAGGUAGAGCUACUGGAUGGCCGAUGGGCCCGACAAGGUUACUGACGUCAGCCAAACUCCGAAUGCCGGUAAGUUGAGCGUGGCAGUGAGACUGCGGGGGAUAAGCUCCGUGGGUCGAGAGGGAAACAGCCCAGAUCGCCGGCUAAGGCCCCUAAGCGUGUGCUCAGUGGGAAAGGAUGUGGAGUUGCUCAGACAACCAGGAGGUUGGCUUAGAAGCAGCCACCCUUGAAAGAGUGCGUAAUAGCUCACUGGUCAAGUGAUUCCGCGCCGACAAUGUAGCGGGGCUCAAGCACACCGCCGAAGCCGUGGCAACCACACUUAGCGUGAUAGCUAGCCAUUACAGUCUGUGACUGUCAGUGGUGUGGUUGGGUAGGGGAGCGUCGUACAGCCAUUGAAGUGGCGGGGUGACCCAGCUGUGGAGGCUGUACGAGUGAGAAUGCAGGCAUGAGUAGCGAAUGACGGGUGUGAAUCCCGUCCACCGAAUGACCAAGGGUUCCAGGGCCAGGUUUAUCCGCCCUGGGUAAGUCGGGACCUAAGGCGAGGCCGACAGGCGUAGUCGAUGGACAAGGAGUUGAUAUUCUCCUACCGGCGAAGAACCGUCCAUACCGAGUCCGGUGAUACUAACCAUCCCGAGCUUGCACCACAGUCUUCGGACUGUACCGCAAGGGAGGCGUGGGACCUGAUCCGGUAGUAGGUAAGCGUGUUAACAGGGGUGACGCAGGAAGGUAGCCGCACGUGGCGAUGGUUGUCCACGUCCAAGGUUGUAGCCUGCUCCGUAGGGAAAUCCGCGGGGUGUGAAGGGUGAGGACUGAUGGUGACCACGUAGGUGGGAACGCGGUGAUCCUCUGCUGCCAAGAAAAGCCUCGACGCGAGGUUCUAGCCGCCCGUACCCCAAACCGACUCAGGUGGUCAGGUAGAGAAUACCAAGGUGAUCGAGCGAAUCGUGGUCAAGGAACUCGGCAAAAUGCCCCCGUAACUUCGGGAGAAGGGGGGCCGGAUCCGUGAAGCACCCUUGCGGUGCGUGAGCGGUGAAGGCCGCAGAGACCAGGGAGAAGCGACUGUUUACUAAAAACACAGGUCCGUGCGAAGUCGCAAGACGAUGUAUACGGACUGACGCCUGCCCGGUGCUGGAAGGUUAAGAGGACGGGUCAGCCCUUCGGGGUGAAGCCCAGAAUUUAAGCCCCAGUAAACGGCGGUGGUAACUAUAACCAUCCUAAGGUAGCGAAAUUCCUUGUCGGGUAAGUUCCGACCUGCACGAAUGGCGUAACGACUUCUCCGCUGUCUCGACCGCGAACUCGGCGAAAUUGCACUACGAGUAAAGAUGCUCGUUACGCGCAGCAGGACGGAAAGACCCCGGGACCUUUACUAUAGCUUGGUAUUGGUGUUCGGUGCGGUUUGUGUAGGAUAGGUGGGAGACUGUGAAACUCGGCCGCCAGGUCGGGUGGAGUCGUCGUUGAAAUACCACUCUGAUCGCUUCGGGCAUCUAACCUCGGUCCGUGAUCCGGAUCAGGGACAGUGCCUGGUGGGUAGUUUAACUGGGGCGGUUGCCUCCUAAAAUGUAACGGAGGCGCUCAAAGGUUCCCUCAGCCUGGUUGGCAAUCAGGUGUCGAGUGCAAGUGCACAAGGGAGCUUGACUGUGAGACUGACAGGUCGAGCAGGGACGAAAGUCGGAACUAGUGAUCCUGCCAUGGCUUGUGGAAGCGUGGUGGCUCAACGGAUAAAAGGUACCCCGGGGAUAACAGGCUGAUCUUGCCCAAGAGUCCAUAUCGACGGCAUGGUUUGGCACCUCGAUGUCGGCUCGUCGCAUCCUGGGGCUGGAGUUGGUCCCAAGGGUUGGGCUGUUCGCCCAUUAAAGCGGUACGCGAGCUGGGUUUAGAACGUCGUGAGACAGUUCGGUCCCUAUCCGCUGCGCGCGUAGGAGUCUUGAGAAGGGCUGUCCCUAGUACGAGAGGACCGGGACGGACGAACCUCUGGUGUGCCAGUUGUUCCGCCAGGAGCACGGCUGGUUGGCUACGUUCGGAAGGGAUAACCGCUGAAAGCAUCUAAGCGGGAAGCCUGCUUCAAGAUGAAGACUCCACCACACUUUGUGUGGGAAGGCGCCCAAUAGAUGAUUGGGUUGAUAGGCCGGAGGUGGAAGACCAGUAAUGGUUGGAGCUGACCGGUACUAAUCUGCCGACAACCUCAACAACCAC
Molecule: ribosomal RNA, 3137 nt
Filed under: Myceligenerans indicum
Lineage: Bacteria; Bacillati; Actinomycetota; Actinomycetes; Micrococcales; Promicromonosporaceae
Description: 23S ribosomal RNA
Rfam family: Bacterial large subunit ribosomal RNA
Source: RNAcentral